This 447-nucleotide ribosomal RNA is filed under the name uncultured bacterium. RNAcentral describes it as "bacterial SSU rRNA". It matches the Rfam family "Bacterial small subunit ribosomal RNA", at positions 330 to 793 of the family's 1533-position model. The record is from RNAcentral.
CCCAGACUCCUACGGGAGGCAGCAGUGGGGAAUAUUGCACAAUGGGGGAAACCCUGAUGCAGCGACGCCGCGUGAGUGAAGAAGUAUUUCGGUAUGUAAAGCUCUAUCAGCAGGAAAGAAAAUGACGGUACCUGACUAAGAAGCCCCGGCUAACUACGUGCCAGCAGCCGCGGUAAUACGUAGGGGGCAAGCGUUAUCCGGAUUUACUGGGUGUAAAGGGAGCGUAGACGGCAGCGCAAGUCUGGAGUGAAAUGCCGGGGCCCAACCCCGGAACUGCUCUGGAAACUGUGAAGCUGGAGUGCAGGAGAGGUAAGCGGAAUUCCUGGUGUAGCGGUGAAAUGCGUAGAUAUCAGGAGGAACACCGGCGGCGAAGGCGGCUUACUGGACUGUAACUGACGUUGAGGCUCGAAGGCGUGGGGAGCAAACAGGAUUAGAUACCCUCGUACG